Molecule: long non-coding RNA, 727 nt
Organism: Hippopotamus amphibius kiboko
Lineage: Eukaryota; Metazoa; Chordata; Mammalia; Artiodactyla; Hippopotamidae
Exons: 5
Source: RefSeq, a predicted model, not a curated record
CAACCCCGAAGCCGCCUGUUUACACCUUUAAAACAAUGAUAUGAAUAUUUAAAAACAACGGUUAACCCUCUCCUUCUCGGCCACGUUUUUCAUUUGUUCAAACGAAGGCGCCAAGCGGGCCGCAAAGCCGGGGGAGCACGAGUCUCACUCUGUCCAGUAGACGGCAGCAUAACCUAAUGCUCUGAGUCAGGAUCCUUGCUGCUGGAGUUGGCUCUGACCCAGGAAGGAGGACGCUUUCCUCGGUUCUGUGCUUACAUUUCCUUCUCUACAUCCUGAAAAAGGAAUUACUACUCCUCAGAUACUGUCCUGGACAUUUGCAUUCCUCUGCUUAGUUAACUUGUCAGAAACCACAUGAUGAUGACUCAGAGACGCUCGCCUGCCACACAGCAGAAGCUCAGAGCUGUUGCCAGCCUGCGCUGGAUCUGGAAGCUGGCAGAAGACCCAGCCAGGUCCUCGAGAUGCUCCAGCCCAACCUGUUUACCUUGUGAGCUGCAGAAAGCGUGCGCUCCCUCUGCCGCAGCUCUGUCCCCGUGUGAUUACAUCUUUCCUUGGUGUUCUGAGCCUUAAGUUUUGGAUGCAGUGAUGAUGUAUUAUGAAACCAAACAAAUCAGUCCUUAGGACAGACGACUCGGGAAAAUCAACCAUCACCUCCAAGAUAAAACAAGCUUUCAACCCCACAAGAGAAAACAGGAUUGUAAUGCCUUCCUAACAACAUUGCUUUAUUGAU